UACAAAACAAAAUUCCAUGGAAUUUUUCUUAACUGUCCCCACUCACGAGAUAUCCACCGACAACGGACCCUAGAUGCGUAGAGUGGAGUUGGAGUAAAACAAAUAACAGCAGAAAAAAAAUUGACGAAGAAGGCGCAGUUUAAGCAGGAGAGACCUAUGAACAAAAUCAAGGGUCAGACCAAAAAGAAACUAACAAUAGAAAUUAAUAGAAAAAUCUGUACUUUAUUUUGUAAAUAAAAUCAUUUCAUAUCAA
This is a long non-coding RNA of Diachasma alloeum, 253 nucleotides long. RefSeq lists it as uncharacterized. NCBI's taxonomy places the organism in Eukaryota, Metazoa, Arthropoda, Insecta, Hymenoptera, Braconidae. The record is from RefSeq and is a predicted model, not a curated record. The transcript is spliced from 2 exons.